GGUCAUGGCUCAGUGGUAGAGUGCUCACCUAGCAUGAGUGAGGUGCUGGGUUCGAUCCUCGGCACCA
RNAcentral lists this transfer RNA (67 nucleotides) under Marmota monax (woodchuck). RNAcentral's name for it is "tRNA.Ala". Lineage: Eukaryota; Metazoa; Chordata; Mammalia; Rodentia; Sciuridae. The record is from RNAcentral.